RNAcentral lists this ribosomal RNA (450 nucleotides) under uncultured bacterium. Its description in RNAcentral is "partial 16S ribosomal RNA". It matches the Rfam family "Bacterial small subunit ribosomal RNA", at positions 354 to 796 of the family's 1533-position model. The record is from RNAcentral.
GUGGGGAAUUUUGGACAAUGGGGGCAACCCUGAUCCAGCAAUGCCGCGUGCAGGAAGAAGGCCUUCGGGUUGUAAACUGCUUUUGUACGGAACGAAACGGUCCUGGUUAAUACCUGGGGCUAAUGACGGUACCGUAAGAAUAAGCACCGGCUAACUACGUGCCAGCAGCCGCGGUAAUACGUAGGGUACAAGCGUUAAUCGGAAUUACUGGGCGUAAAGCGUGCGCAGGCGGUUUUGUAAGACAGGCGUGAAAUCCCCGGGCUCAACCUGGGAAUGGCGCUUGUGACUGCAAGGCUGGAGUGCGGCAGAGGGGGAUGGAAUUCCGCGUGUAGCAGUGAAAUGCGUAGAUAUGCGGAGGAACACCGAUGGCGAAGGCAAUCCCCUGGGCCUGCACUGACGCUCAUGCACGAAAGCGUGGGGAGCAAACAGGAUUAGAUACCCCGGUAGUCC